UUUCCGUAGGUGAACCUGCGGAAGGAUCAUUAAUGAGAACUAAGGGUAGUAGUCUCGGCUACUACUCUGAACACUCCACCCUUUGUUUAUAUUACCUUUGUUGCUUUAGCAGGCCCGCUCUCGGGCCGCCGGCACCUGCUGGCCAGUGCCUGCUAGAGGACCUAAAACUCUUGUUAAUAAUAUUGUCUGAGUACUAUAUAAUAGUUAAAACUUUCAACAACGGAUCUCUUGGUUCUG
Molecule: unclassified non-coding RNA, 237 nt
Filed under: plant metagenome
Description: partial contains small subunit ribosomal RNA, internal transcribed spacer 1, and 5.8S ribosomal RNA
Source: RNAcentral